Long non-coding RNA from Oncorhynchus keta (chum salmon), 1123 nucleotides. RefSeq lists it as uncharacterized. The transcript has 3 exons. Lineage: Eukaryota; Metazoa; Chordata; Actinopteri; Salmoniformes; Salmonidae. The record is from RefSeq and is a predicted model, not a curated record.
CUGCGAACUGUGUUUCAAUCUCAGAAUGUGGUGGUUGGUUCUACUGGAGCUCAUAGAGCAAGUCCUGAACAGUCACCGACAGCUCCUGAAAGGUGGGUCUCUCGUCCGCCUUCUGCCAGUCAAUUCAAGAGGAGGGACAAGACAUGAAGGGAAGCCUCCCUAAGGUGUAGACCUCCCACAUUAAGACCCCUAUGGAGAGCAAGUAGAGCAGGACCUCAGGAGGAGACCAGCGCACUGGGAACUUGGAGCCUGCAGAGCUGGUGUACUCAUCAUCCAGGACAUACCUGACAUGACAGGGAGAGUUGUCAACUUGUCAAGAAAGUAGCAAGAAUUACAUAAUAUUGCUGUAAGAAUCAACUGUAGAUUUGAUUUAUUUGUCAGGUAUUUCUGCAGUGUGUGCUUAUUUGUAAAAGCUGCCAGAUUCAAGUACAACAAUCACAGUCGUUUACCUCGACAGUCCAAAGUCAGUGACUUUAAUGGUCCCAUUGGUAUCUACCAAGCAGUUUCUUGCAGCCUGAGAAAUAGAACAGAGUAUGUGUUAUUUGGGCCCAGUAUUGUUUAGUAUAGGAUAUUAGUAGUAUCAUGUCAGGAUCAGACUUGCUGUGUCUUUCAAAUAUGUGAACUGCGCUUGAUUUAGUUUGAACAAUCAGUGUAAUAGUCCCAAAAGGGAGACAGUGGAAUAGUCCCAAAAGGGGAAAUGGCAAAACCCAAGCUAUUUGACUUAUAAGUAUGUGAUGGAAAUGUUUAUCAUGUGAAGAGACAGCCUUGAAAAUGUUAAUAUUGUCUUAGUGUCGUAAAUAAUCCUUGGUUCCUGCCUGUGCUUGGUAAAGAUAUGAGUGGAGGGGCGACAUGACCUCCUCCUUAGGACCAUCUGGCAGAACGCCCAGAAUAUGUUCUAUAAGUUAAGAUGGGUGACGGUGCCAGACACAUGCCGGAACCAAUCCUAUGAACGAAACCUAUGCAAUGUGUCUGGAACCAGUAUAUAAGGAUCUAACAGGACUGCCCCAGGUAGAGCUCCUGAGCGACAUGUGUACUUGGUGCAUUGAGUUGGUUGGAACCUCUCCAGCGCGCUGAUAAUAAAUAAUGUAUCAUUUAAGAUUGACUUUGAGUGUCCCUCUGUAGA